AUUGAACGCUGGCGGCAGGCUUAACACAUGCAAGUCGAGCGGUAACAGAGAGUAGUUUACUAUUCUGCUGACGAGCGGCGGACGGGUGAGUAAUGCCUAGGAAUCUGCCUAAUAGUGGGGGAUAACUUGCCGAAAGGUAAGCUAAUACCGCAUACGUCCUACGGGAGAAAGGAGGGGACUCUUCGGAGCCUUUCGCUAUUAGAUGAGCCUAGGUCGGAUUAGUUAGUUGGUGAGGUAAUGGCUCACCAAGACCGCGAUCCGUAACUGGUCUGAGAGGAUGAUCAGUCACACUGGAACUGAGACACGGUCCAGACUCCUACGGGAGGCAGCAGUGGGGAAUAUUGGACAAUGGGGGAAACCCUGAUCCAGCCAUGCCGCGUGUGUGAAGAAGGUCUUAGGAUUGUAAAGCACUUUAAGUUGGGAGGAAGGGCAGUUAACUAAUAUUUGACUGUUUUGACGUUACCGACAGAAUAAGCACCGGCUAACUUCGUGCCAGCAGCCGCGGUAAUACGAAGGGUGCAAGCGUUAAUCGGAAUUACUGGGCGUAAAGCGCGCGUAGGUGGUUCGUUAAGUUAGGAGUGAAAGCCCCGGGCUCAACCUGGGAAUUGCUUCUAAAACUGGCGAGCUAGAGUAUGGUAGAGGGUGGUGGAAUUUCCUGU
This 659-nucleotide ribosomal RNA is filed under the name uncultured Pseudomonas sp. RNAcentral's name for it is "bacterial SSU rRNA". It matches the Rfam family "Bacterial small subunit ribosomal RNA", at positions 28 to 674 of the family's 1533-position model. Lineage: Bacteria; Pseudomonadati; Pseudomonadota; Gammaproteobacteria; Pseudomonadales; Pseudomonadaceae. The record is from RNAcentral.